GAUGAACGCUGGCGGCGUGCCUAAUACAUGCAAGUCGAGCGAACGGACGAGAAGCUUGCUUCUCUGAUGUUAGCGGCGGACGGGUGAGUAACACGUGGAUAACCUACCUAUAAGACUGGGAUAACUUCGGGAAACCGGAGCUAAUACCGGAUGAUAUUUUGAACCGCAUGGUUCAAAAGUGAAAGACGGUCUUGCUGUCACUUAUAGAUGGAUCCGCGCUGCAUUAGCUAGUUGGUAAGGUAACGGCUUACCAAGGCAACGAUGCAUAGCCGACCUGAGAGAGUGAUCGGCCACACUGGAACGGGGACAGGGUCAAGACGCCUAAGGGAGGCAGCAGUAGGGAAUCUGCCGCAAUGGGCGAAAGCCUGACGGAGCAACGCCGCGUGAGUGAUGAAGGUCUUCGGAUCGUAAAACUCUGUUAUUAGGGAAGAACAUAUGUGUAAGUAACUGUGCACAGCGUGACGGUACCUAAUCAGAAAGCCACGGCUAACUACGUG
This 497-nucleotide ribosomal RNA is filed under the name uncultured bacterium. RNAcentral describes it as "partial 16S ribosomal RNA". It matches the Rfam family "Bacterial small subunit ribosomal RNA", at positions 28 to 507 of the family's 1533-position model. The record is from RNAcentral.